CUAAUACCCCAUAACAUCAGAGAAGGCAUCUUCUUUGGUUAAAAACUCCGGUGGUAAAAGAUGUGCAUGCGUUGUAUUAGGUAGUUGGUGAGGUAAUGGCUCACCAAGCCUACGAUACAUAGGGGGACUGAGAGGUUAGCCCCCCCACACUGGUACUGAGACACGGACCAGACUCCUACGGGAGGCAGCAGUGAGGAAUAUUGGUCAAUGGGCGCAAGCCUGAACCAGCCAUGCCGCGUGCAGGAAGACGGCUCUAUGAGUUGUAAACUGCUUUUAUAUAGGGAUAAAGUCGGGUACGUGUACCCAUUUGCAGGUACUAUAUGAAUAAGGACCGGCUAACUCCGUGCCAGCAGCCGCGGUAAUACGGAGGGUCCAAGCGUUAUCCGGAUUUAUUGGGUUUAAAGGGUGCGUAGGCGGCACAGUAAGUUAGCGGUGAAAUCUCGGGGCUCAACCCUGAAACUGCCGUUAAAACUGCUGAGCUAGAGAUUAGAUGCUGUGGGCGGAAUGUGUAGUGUAGCGGUGAAAUGCUUAGAGAUUACACAGAACACCGAUUGCGAAGGCAGCUCACAAAUCUACUUCUGACGUUGAGGCACGAAAGCGUGGGGAGCAAACAGGAUAAGAUACCCUGGUAGUCCACGCAGUAAACGAUGAUAGCUCGUUGUCGGCGAUACACAGUCGGUGACUUAGUGAAAGCGUUAAGCUAUCCACCUGGGGAGUACGUUCCCUAGAUGAAACUCAAAGGAAUUGACGG
This 751-nucleotide ribosomal RNA is filed under the name uncultured bacterium. Its description in RNAcentral is "bacterial SSU rRNA". It matches the Rfam family "Bacterial small subunit ribosomal RNA", at positions 163 to 916 of the family's 1533-position model. The record is from RNAcentral.